This 427-nucleotide ribosomal RNA is filed under the name uncultured bacterium. Its description in RNAcentral is "bacterial SSU rRNA". It matches the Rfam family "Bacterial small subunit ribosomal RNA", at positions 30 to 462 of the family's 1533-position model. The record is from RNAcentral.
AUUGAACGCUGGCGGCAUGCCUUACACAUGCAAGUCGAACGGCAGCACGGGAGCAAUCCUGGUGGCGAGUGGCGAACGGGUGAGUAAUAUAUCGGAACGUGCCCAGUCGUGGGGAUAACGUAGCGAAAGCUACGCUAAUACCGCAUACGAUCUAUGGAUGAAAGCGGGGGAUCGCAAGACCUCGCGCGAUUGGAGCGGCCGAUAUCAGAUUAGGUAGUUGGUGAGGUAAAGGCUCACCAAGCCGACGAUCUGUAGCUGGUCUGAGAGGACGACCAGCCACACUGGGACUGAGACACGGCCCAGACUCCUACGGGAGGCAGCAGUGGGGAAUUUUGGACAAUGGGCGCAAGCCUGAUCCAGCAAUGCCGCGUGCAGGAUGAAGGCCUCGGUGUAACUGCUUGUACGGUAACGGAAACGGUAGGGCGUC